Molecule: long non-coding RNA, 4534 nt
Filed under: Marmota monax (woodchuck)
Lineage: Eukaryota; Metazoa; Chordata; Mammalia; Rodentia; Sciuridae
Source: RNAcentral
ACUUUUAGUCACCAAUUUUACCUUUUUAUAAUGACAUUGUAAGAACUAAUGGGUUGGUUUGGGUGAAUUGACAUUUCCCAAAUAUCUGAAAAUGACACAUUCACAGGUUUAGUAAUUUUUGCACUUGGUUAUAGAGUUCUUGCAGUUUAUAUAUAAUAAACUGCCUUAACCAUCCCUUCCCCUUGUUUGCCAUUUGUCCAGCAGAAUGUCUGCAAUUCAGUGUGAGGAUUUAUUGUAAAGUAUGUUCAGGAAAUGAAAGGAUAAAUAAAAGUGAAAGUUCACUGCAGGUAGUGUAGGGAGAAAAAAGUGACUAAAAUACUGCAUUUUUCUCUCCUACAACUACAAAUACCUAAAGAGGUAAAAAAGAAAAUUGUUUCUCCUAGGAAGUAGGGUGAUUAAUUCUGGUAACUAGGAAUUUUCUCUUUGGGAAUCUGACCCCUUAAAAAUAGCAUUGAGUUGGGCCUUAAAAUAGUCAAUAGUGAAAUAAAAACCUAGCAAGAUUAGCAUAAAAGAAAGGAAUUCUUUCUAUACUACUAUGCCAGCAUUGCAGAAGACACUUAAAAGAAUUCUACACAUAGAAGAAGAUUUAAAACAAACAAGAUAUCUUGCAUAAGAAUAAAUUAAUUAGAAGUCUGGAUGAAUAUGUAACAAUUAGGAUAGAACAAACAUUAAAUGUAAAUCAAAAUGACAAAAAAUAGCACAUUACUUUCUAUAAUAACACUGAAUAUUUAAAAAAGUCAAUAGUAUUUGACACAGAAGAGGAAAAUAUAAUAGAGGUAAAAGUGAGUAGAUAAUGUAAAAAGAUGUAGAAUGUCCAGCAGCUCAAGUAGAGAAAGUGUGUCUUUGAAAGGUAUAUUGGGGUAAGAACACAGGCCCUUGAACGACAUGUUGAAGAGCUUCAGCUUUAUUAUGUAAGCAUGGCAGAAUCAUCAGAUUUGAGGAAAGGAAUGAGAUUCUUCAAAAACAAAAUUGGUAUUAUGAAAAGGUGAUAAAGGGGACAAAACAGGAAGACCACUUGAACAUAAAUAUUUUAAUAGCUCAAAAGAGAAAAGGGCAUUUUGAACAUUGUCAGAGGGAAUGUAAAGACAGCUUGUUUUGGAGCAUUGGAAUGAAGGGUGAGGAAAGAAGCCUUUUUAGGUCUAGUGACUAGACAAAUUACCAAGUAGGGAACUGGGCCGGCGGAUUGGAAUUAUACAGGAAGAUAAUUUUGAUUUGGUUUGUUGAACUUUUUGGAUGUCCUGUAGGUAGUGCACGUGGAAAGGCAUAGCAAAUAGAAGAUAGGUCAGACCUAGAGAUACAGCUUAGGUAAACAGUGCACAGAAACAAUAAUUAUAACAUUAAAAUGGAACUGAAAUAUGUCUUCCCAUAUCCUAUUUUCUCUCAUAAGGCUUAAUGUGUUUCCUGGUACUUUUCAUCCUCUUCGCUUCCUAUGGCAACUUCAACUAUGGUAGUCAAAUUAGUCGUUGAAUUGGAAUGUAUUAUGAAACAGUUUUACACAAGGAUUGGUUCUUUACCUACCUGUAAAAGUGACAAUAGACCUAAUUUAAGUUUUAAAUUUGAUAGCAACUAUCUGUUGGUGAAAAGGAGCAACAAUGUCACCUUCCUUUUCUAUAGUCAAAGAUAACAUUCUAAACCACCAACCCAGUAUGCCUUGCUGAGGUUUUUUUUUUUUUUUUUUGGUACUGGAGAUUGAGCUACAUCCCUGCUGGGUUCAAUGCCUGGGACACUCUCCCCCCCUCCCUCCGAAAAAAAGUGUUGAAGCAGGUAUCCUCGGUCAUAAACUUAGUGACAUCCACUCCUUCAUCUUCCAUGCUAAGGCUGGUGCUGCCCUCAGUGAUGACUUUUGUCAGGCUCAUUUUCUGUCCUGACAGUGAAUUUGGCUAUAGCAAUAGGACGGUGGACAUUAUGGCCUCCAAAGAGUAGAAGCCCCUGGACCACCAACCCCAGUAAUAUCUUUUUUUGUUGUUUUUUUGGUACCCUGGGGAUUGAAUCCAGGGGUGCUUAACAACUAAGCCACAUUCCCAGACCUUUUUAUUUUUUAUUUUGAGACUGGGUGUCACUAAGUUGCUGAGGCUGCCCUUGAAUUUGCAAUCCUCCUGCCUCCUGAGUUGUUGGGAUUAUAGGCCUGCACCACCAUGCCUGGCUCCCAGUGAGAUCAUGAGAGGAAAAGAGAGGCCUCUCUGCUGCUGUGGAAUCCCUGCCUCAACUCAAGUCAUCAGACACACUGAGAACCACCGCCCCCCUCCUCCCAGUUUCCAUCUCAGAUCUUCUGAAUAAGGGAAGGGAUUAGGGAAUCUACUCUUUUAGGUACCAUCAAUAAAGUCCACUGCACCCAUCUCCCUGUGCUCCCCCGAAAAGAGUAGGGGAUGAUCUGCUUGUUGAACCUAACCCCUUUUCUUUAAAUCUCUUGGAUUAAAUAGUCUGGAAUUAAUCUUGACAGUUUUCAAAUUGUUACUUUUCAUAUCUUUGUAAUUAUCUUGAGGUUCUAAAUUAAAUAUACUAAAAUGUAUGUAAGUAAUGUUCCCAACACCCAGGAAUUGUAUUGGCCAAAUUUAAGUUGGAAUUAAAAAUGCCCUGGCUCAGUGGUAGAGAGCUCGCCUAGCAUGCACGAGGCACUGAGUUUGAUCCUCAGCACCACAUAAUUGUAAAAUAAAGAUAUUGUGUCCACAUAAAACUUAAAAAUAAAUAUUAAAAAACCCCCAAAUUUUAUUACAAUUUAGUAUUUACAAAAGGUGUACAUUUACUGAGGGUUUACUGUUAAUAUUUUAGAAUUAUUUUCCCAAGCAGGGUUUAUAAUCAUGUGUCUAGAACUGGCUACACAAAUUUAGAAUUCAUUAGAGGACUAGUUUUUCAUAGAUUAUGUGGCAUUAAUUAUUGUUUUUGAAUUAAGUAAUGGUAGAAAGGGACAAAUGGGAGAACUGGUAGCAUCUACAUGGGUAAUUUUUGAAAAUUAGAUGCACAUUUGUCAAAGAAACCACUAUGUGAGUGUGGCUUUCUGGUUAUAAAGGUACCGGGAGUGAUUCUUGAGUUACAGUGGUUUCACUUAACCAUUUUCAACUUUACAAUGGUGUGAAAAUGAUUUGUAGUCUAUAAAGACUAGAUUUGGAGUUUUGAAAUUUGAUCUUGGGCUAUUGAUAGUGGUAAGAUGCUUGUGAUGCUAGGCAGUGAUAGUGAGCCACAGCUUCCAGUCAGCCAACAGAUCUUGAGGGGAAACAACUAAGGCUGUUCACAUAUUUGGUAGGUUACCUAUGUUAAAUGCAUUUCAACGUACAAUGGGUUUGUCAUGACAACCCAUCACUGAUCGAGAAGCAUCUGUGGAUACUGAUCACAUUCCUCAUAGCUGGUUUUAUAUAUAUAGUUUCUCAUAAUUAUGGAGUAAUGCUCUAAAAUUAGAGCUUGUUAAUCUGACUAGUUGUCAAGUCUGAAUUAUAGCUGUACUCCUGACAGGCUAAAAUCUUGGAAAAGGAUAGCAGUUACAACACAUUUUCCUUUUUUUUAAAGCAAAAUAAGCUAAAUGGUUUUUUUUCUUUUUCAUUUCAGAGUUUUUCUUUAAAUAACAAGCUGUUUUUUCCUUUUUAUAAACAUUUUGAUGCUUUUUGGUUAUUUCCAGCAUGCAAAUGUUUAAAUUAAACCCCAAAUUUUCUAACAGUAAAGAUCUUUAUAAACAGGAAGAUUUUUAUUAUGAUACUUUUUACCUGGCAACAUGGUAUAAUAGAGGGCUUUGAUUCAAAACCUUUGACAGAGUACAACUGGGGGGAUUUUUCUGAUAUAAAACAAAGGCUCACAAUCAUCCCUUCCAAAGUUGAACAGAAUUAACCUUAUUUUUCAAGUAAACAGACAUUUACUACUCUCAAAUUUUAGAAGGGAUUGAUAUCAAAGAUAGGAAUUGCUUCUUUCCACCAGCCUUUCAAGUCGUUAUGCAUUUAUGCCAGUUUACUUAACCCCAUGUAUACUUCUUAAAUUCCUGUAAUCGUUUGAUGUCUGAGACCAAAUCUUGAAUUUCAAGAAUAAAACAGUGAUGUUUAUGAAAGCUGUUCAACUAAGGUCUUCUGACUGCUCUUUAGCUAAUUUAGAAUACCCAUUAUGAACAUUCCAUUUUUUAAAACUGUGUUAAACUCAAAAUAAUUGGGAUAGAUGGAUAGAUGGAUAGAUAUGUGAUAAGGCAAGUGUAGUUUACUGUUACAGAAUUUAGAUAGUGGAUAUAUGGGUGUUGACCAUAAAAUUCCCACUGAAGCAUUUUAUAAUAAAAUAUUGAAGAAAACAAAAUUGGAGAAAACUAAGGCUGCUUUACCUAGUUACUCCACUAUUAUAAUUCUACAGUUCAUUUACAAUAGCAUGCAGUACAAAUCAUCUUUUGAGUUUGUAAACUCCCAAUCUCCUUAAUGUUUUUCUUUGCACUUUCAAGUAUGUUGGUUAGUUGGUUAUGUCUAAAACAAUAGAACAACUCUAGCCAAUGGCUGAAAUACCAAAGCUAUUAAGAACAUUAAGACAAAUUAGAGAAAGAUUAGAAAAAGUAUUAGUUUUUUAAAAUGUG